AAAAGAUUAUACUACUUCUAACUACAUGCCAUAUGAUUACUUAAGUUGAAAGAAAUUCCCCAAAUCAAAUCAGCUGGUGGUAAGAGAGGUGGAUUAAGCUGGAAAAUGUAGAAAUUUGUGUGACUGUGUGUUAUUUUAUCCAAACAUAAACUUCACUCAUGAACCCCCAAAGCAGGGUCUCAUUUCCAUUUGGAAAAUUGCAAUUGGUGUUUUUCUCGUUGUCUGUUUUGGUUCUUAUGAAAAGAAAGUGGAAAAAUGGCCUGAUGAGGUGGCAUAACGCAUCAAUCCACACUCCGUCUCUGACUGUUCUCCCCACAGCGGUCAGUCCACAAAGUCUCUAACACUUGCUGCUAUUAAUAAAAGCUGAAGAAAAUGAUGCCUUUGUCUGAAGACAUUAGCAGGAUUGUGGUUGUGUUCCAAAGGACUGGAGGCUGAGAGGAGGGUGUGAGAAGGCCAGUUGCCCAGGGCACCAACCUAAAGAGUUGCUAAAUUUAAGGGGGAAGGCACCCAGCCAGCCAUCAAUGAGCCACAAUUGCUCUGUCGCCAAUCUAGGUGUCCGUGUUGCUUGAAAUAGUUCUGCUUACUUUAAGCUGUUCUACCACAUGUGCUCAGAAAUUCUAAAGACCAUUUACACACUUUAUUGAAGCGAGUUUUUAAAAAUUGGACAUGCAGUCUUGCUCUAUACUCAUGUUAAUGACUACUUUAGAAUUAAAGUUAUUAAGACGUCUCAACAUUUUGAAUUUAAACCAGGAAACCAGCACCAUCUCCUGCCUCCCCUGACCCCCAAACCCUCCACAAUAGAAAAAAUAGUUUUCCUAUUUAGUUCUUAUUUGAGGAUACUGCAGUGUUUCAGCAUCCUGGCUGAACGGUAAAAUCACCUAAAAAUCUGAGCCACAUCAGAGUCCAAUUGAAACAGACCUCUGCGGGUAGGUCCCAGGAAUUUAUAUGUCCUAAGUGCUCCCGGCGUGAUUCUGAUACUCAGUGAGGGUUGAAUGAGAACCAGGUGGUAAUGGCUUCUCUUAUACUCUCAGCAUUUAGCUCACAUCUGAAACACCUGGAGGGCUUGUGAAAACAGAUCGUUGAGCCCUGCUCCCAGAGUUUCAGACUGAGUAGGUCUGGGAUGGAGAAUUUCCAUUUCCGUCAAGUUCCAGUGCCUGUCGAUGCUGCUCCAGGGACCACACUUUGAGAACCACCUCUCUAAUAUCUAACCACCUCUAACGAUCCUGACUCAUUCUGCAUAUCCUAAGAUUAGCCUUGAGCUAACAUCUGCUGCCAAUCCUCCUCUUUUUGCUGAGAAAGACUGGCCCUGAGAUAACAUCGUGCCCACCUUCCUCUACUUUAUAGCUGGGAUGCCUCCCACAGCAUGGCGUGCAAAGUGGUGCCAUGUCCGCACCCGGGGUCUGAACCGGCGAACCCUGGGCCACCAAAGUGGAACGUGCACACUUAACCACUGUGCCACCGGGCUGGGCCCCCAAGUCCACUUUUAAAUAACACUAUACUACUUCAUGGGUGUUGUAAAUACCUUAUAAUAACAAAAUAACAGUAAUUCCUCUCUCUUUUCCCUUGUAUCAUUACUGUCGUUUACUUCACUGAUACAGAAGCAUAUAAAUAUAUAUAAGCAUACAUUGUUGGUAUUGUUACUUAGAACAAAUUGUUGUCUUUUAGACCAAUUAAGAAUAAAGAAAAUAAAAUUAAUAAGGUAAAAACAUUUUACUUCACUUAUUCCUUCUCUGAUGUUCUUUUCUUUAAGUAGAUUAGAGUUUCUGACCUGUAUCAUUUUACCUCUCCCUAAAGAACAUCUAACGUAUCUCAAAAGGCAGGUCUGCUCACAACAAAUUUCCUCAAUUUUUGUUUGCUUGAGAAAGUCUUUAUUUCUCCUUCACUUUUGAAGGAUAAUUUCAUGGGGUACAUAAUUCUAGGUAGAUGUUUUUUCUGUCAACAAUUUACAUAUUUCACUGUGCUCUUGCAUGAUUUCUGAGGAGAAAUCAAAUGUAAUUAUUAUUUUUUGCUCCUAUGUAAGGUAUUUUUUUUCCUCUGGCUUCUUUCAGGAUUUUUUUCUUUAUCUUUGAUUUUCUUUGGUUUGAAAGUGAUGUGACUAGGUGUAGUUUCUUUGGCCAUUUAUCCUUAGUGUUCUCUGAACGUACUGGAUAUGUGGUUUGGUAUCUGUUGUAACUUUGGGGGAAAUUCUCAGUCAUUAUUGUUUCAAAUAUUUCUCCUGGUCCUUUAUUUCUUUUUUCUCCUUCUGCAAUUUUUAUUACAUAUAUAUUAGAUCUUUUGUAGUUGUCCCACAGUUCUUGCAUAUUCUGUAAUGCCUUUUCAUUCUGCUUUUUCAAUUUUGGAGGUUUCUGUUACCCUAUCUCUAAGCCUAGAGAUUCUUUCCUCAGUCAUGUCCAGUCUACAUAUAAGCCCAUCGUAGUCAUUCCUCAAAAAGGCAGUGUUUUUGAUCUCCAGCAUUUCUUUUUGGUUCUUUCUUAGAAUUUCCAUCUCUCUGCUUACAUUGCCCAUCUGUUCUUGCAUGCUGUCUAUUUUAUCCAUUAGAGCCCUUAGUAUUUUAAUCAUAGUUGUUUUAAAUUCCAAGGCUGAUAAUUUCAAAAUCUCUGCCAUAUCUGAAUCUGGUUCUGUAGUGUGCUUUCUCUUCAAACUGUUUUUUCCCUUUUAGUAUGUCUUGUAAUUUUUUCUUGACAGCUGGACAUGAUGUAAAUAAGCCUUUAGUAAUGUUCUGUAAGGUGGAGGAGGCGGGUGAAGU
This 2746-nucleotide long non-coding RNA is filed under the name Equus asinus (donkey). Its description in RNAcentral is "lncRNA (ENSEASG00005026690.1)". The record is from RNAcentral. Lineage: Eukaryota; Metazoa; Chordata; Mammalia; Perissodactyla; Equidae.